RNAcentral lists this ribosomal RNA (301 nucleotides) under uncultured bacterium. RNAcentral's name for it is "partial 16S ribosomal RNA". It matches the Rfam family "Bacterial small subunit ribosomal RNA", at positions 509 to 808 of the family's 1533-position model. The record is from RNAcentral.
CAGCAGCCGCGGGAAUACGUAGGUCCCGAGCGUUGUCCGGAUUUAUUGGGCGUAAAGCGAGCGCAGGCGGUUAGAUAAGUCUGAAGUUAAAGGCUGUGGCUUAACCAUAGUACGCUUUGGAAACUGUUUAACUUGAGUGCAAGAGGGGAGAGUGGAAUUCCAUGUGUAGCGGUGAAAUGCGUAGAUAUAUGGAGGAACACCGGUGGCGAAAGCGGCUCUCUGGCUUGUAACUGACGCUGAGGCUCGAAAGCGUAGGGAGCAAACAGGAUUAGAUACCCCGGUAGUCCCUGUCUCUUAUACA